CAUCUAAAGCUAAAUAUUGGCGAGAGACCGAUAGCGAACAAGUACAGUGAUGGAAAGAUGAAAAGAACUUUGAAAAGAGAGUGAAAAAGUACGUGAAAUUGUUGAAAGGGAAGGGCUUGAGAUCAGACUUGGCUUCGGCCGGGCCAGCAUCGGUUUGGAUGGUAGGAUAAUGACAUUGGAAUGUACCUUGCCUUCGGGGAAGUAUUAUAGCCUUUGUUGAUACUGCCUGUCUAGACCGAGGACUGCGUCUU
Molecule: ribosomal RNA, 251 nt
Filed under: [Candida] sp.
Lineage: Eukaryota; Fungi; Ascomycota; Saccharomycetes; Saccharomycetales
Description: Candida sp. (in: Saccharomycetales) partial large subunit ribosomal RNA
Rfam family: Eukaryotic large subunit ribosomal RNA
Source: RNAcentral